RNAcentral lists this long non-coding RNA (233 nucleotides) under Nicotiana benthamiana. RNAcentral describes it as "long non-coding RNA (NBEN_LNC034106)". Lineage: Eukaryota; Viridiplantae; Streptophyta; Magnoliopsida; Solanales; Solanaceae. The record is from RNAcentral.
UAGAGAUGAGAGCAAGUAAGUCAGGCAAAGUAAACUCAGAAAAUUCAAAGGAACAUAAACGUUUCUUGGAAACAUAAUGAGAGAAAAUAUAGUAAAAGAUAUCACCAGGAAACCUUAGGAGGAAACACGGUAAAAGAAAACACAUAAAAAUCACAGUAAAAACACCUAGGAGUUAUGGCAGAGAAAAUACAAUGAGAACACCACCCAAAAAUCACAGUAGAACAAGUAAAAUC